RNAcentral lists this transfer RNA (76 nucleotides) under Proteocatella sp. Its description in RNAcentral is "tRNA-Val". It matches the Rfam family "tRNA". Rfam says of the family: Transfer RNA (tRNA) molecules are approximately 80 nucleotides in length. Their secondary structure includes four short double-helical elements and three loops (D, anti-codon, and T loops). RNAcentral also lists the same sequence under 1 other name. Lineage: Bacteria; Bacillati; Bacillota; Clostridia; Peptostreptococcales; Filifactoraceae. The record is from RNAcentral.
GGGCGAUUAACUCAGCUGGUAGAGUGCCACCUCGACAAGGUGGAAGUCGUUGGUUCGAGUCCAAUAUCGCCCACCA